AGCUCUGUGGUGGUUCACGCAAGAUUGCAAAUCUUGAGAAGCCGGCUAAUACCUGGCCGGGGCUU
This 65-nucleotide transfer RNA is filed under the name Synagrops bellus (blackmouth bass). RNAcentral's name for it is "tRNA-Cys". RNAcentral also lists the same sequence under 1 other name. The record is from RNAcentral. Lineage: Eukaryota; Metazoa; Chordata; Actinopteri; Acropomatiformes; Acropomatidae.